GGCACGCGAGCUGGGUUUAGAACGUCGUGAGACAGUUCGGUCCCUAUCUGGUGUGGGCGUUGGAUGAUUGAUGGGAGCUGCUCCUAGUACGAGAGGACCGGAGUGGACGAACCGCUGGUGUUCGGGUUGUCAUGCCAAUGGCAUUGCCCGGUAGCUAUGUUCGGAACGGAUAACCGCUGAAAGCAUCUAAGCGGGAAGCCGGCCCAAAGAUGAGUCAUCCCUGACCUUUAAGGUCUGGAAGGGUUGUUAUAGACGAUGACGUUGAUAGGCAGGGUGUGGAAGCGUUGUAAGGCGUUAAGCUAACCUGUACUAAUUGCCCGAGAGGCUUAACC
This 332-nucleotide ribosomal RNA is filed under the name Ochromonas sp. CCMP1393. Its description in RNAcentral is "partial Bacterial large subunit ribosomal RNA". It matches the Rfam family "Bacterial large subunit ribosomal RNA", at positions 2595 to 2925 of the family's 2925-position model. Lineage: Eukaryota; Chrysophyceae; Chromulinales; Chromulinaceae. The record is from RNAcentral.